UACGUAGGGGGCAAGCGUUGUCCGGAAUUAUUGGGCGUAAAGAGCGUGUAGGCGGUCCGGUAAGUCAGCUGUGAAAGUCAAGGGCUCAACCCUUGAAUGCCGGUUGAUACUGUCGGGCUAGAGUCCGGAAGAGGCGAGUGGAAUUCCCGGUGUAGCGGUGAAAUGCGUAGAUAUGCGGAGGAACACCGAUGGCGAAGGCAAUCCCCUGGACCUGUACUGACGCUCAUGCACGAAAGCGUGGGGAGCAAACAGG
RNAcentral lists this ribosomal RNA (253 nucleotides) under uncultured bacterium. RNAcentral describes it as "partial 16S ribosomal RNA". It matches the Rfam family "Bacterial small subunit ribosomal RNA", at positions 524 to 776 of the family's 1533-position model. The record is from RNAcentral.